This 275-nucleotide ribosomal RNA is filed under the name uncultured bacterium. RNAcentral describes it as "partial 16S ribosomal RNA". It matches the Rfam family "Bacterial small subunit ribosomal RNA", at positions 523 to 796 of the family's 1533-position model. The record is from RNAcentral.
ACACGGAAGGUGCAAGCGUUGUUCGGAAUUACUGGGCUUAAAGAGCGUGUAGGCGGGGUGGUAGGUGUCAUAGUGAAAUCCCUCGGCUCAACCGAGGAACUGCUUGGCAAACCCCCACUCUUGAGACAGGUAGAGGCGACUGGAACGUUCGGUGGAGCGGUGAAAUGCGUAGAGAUCGAACGGAACACCUGUGGCGAAAGCGAGUCGCUGGGCCUGUUCUGACGCUGAGACGCGAAAGCGUGGGUAGCAAACAGGAUUAGAAACCCCGGUAGUCC